RNAcentral lists this transfer RNA (74 nucleotides) under Pelecanus crispus (Dalmatian pelican). It matches the Rfam family "tRNA". From Rfam's summary of the family: Transfer RNA (tRNA) molecules are approximately 80 nucleotides in length. Their secondary structure includes four short double-helical elements and three loops (D, anti-codon, and T loops). The record is from Rfam by way of RNAcentral. Lineage: Eukaryota; Metazoa; Chordata; Aves; Pelecaniformes; Pelecanidae.
GCUGGGUUAGCUCAGCUGGUUAGAGUGUGGUGCUAAUAAUGCCAAGGUCAUGGGUUCAAUCCCUGCUCACUGCA